Molecule: ribosomal RNA, 399 nt
Filed under: uncultured bacterium
Lineage: Bacteria
Description: bacterial SSU rRNA
Rfam family: Bacterial small subunit ribosomal RNA
Source: RNAcentral
AACGAACGCUGGCGGCGCGCCUAAUACAUGCAAGUCGAGCGAGAAGACGUAGCAAUACGUUUGUAAAGCGGCGAACGGGUGAGGAAUACAUGGGUAACCUACCCUCGAGUGGGGAAUAACUAGCCGAAAGGUUAGCUAAUACCGCGUACGCUCCUUGGACUUCGGUUCAGGGAGGAAAGCGAUACCGUGGGUAUCGCGCUCUUGGAUGGGCUCAUGUCCUAUCAGCUUGUUGGUGAGGAACGGCUCACCAAGGCUUCGACGGGUAGCUGGUCUGAGAGGACGAUCAGCCACACUGGCACUGCGACACGGGCCAGACUCCUACGGGAGGCAGCAGUAAGGAAUAUUGCGCAAUGGGCGAAAGCCUGACGCAGCGACGCCGCGUGGGGGACGAAGGUCUUC